This is a long non-coding RNA of Sinocyclocheilus rhinocerous, 311 nucleotides long. RefSeq lists it as uncharacterized. The transcript has 3 exons. Lineage: Eukaryota; Metazoa; Chordata; Actinopteri; Cypriniformes; Cyprinidae. The record is from RefSeq and is a predicted model, not a curated record.
GUAGCUGGUUAGUAUAUAACUGCAGGAGAUGCAGCUGUACUAACACAGAGGCCCCUAUCCACCCAGAGGCACUGAUAACCCUGCGGGAAGAAUAGCUCACAGUCUACAUAUUGAUGCAUCCUCAAAUAUAAAGUCAAUGGAGCAGCAAUGGACUCAGCUGGCUUGGGAAGAGCUGCCAGAUUUUCAGAACAAUGCCACCCUCAUCAUCAUCUCCUCCUCAGAAACAUCCCAGAUCCCAACACGCCUCUAUAUUAUCCUCACAUAUCGAUGUCUGCUGGUGUCUGUUGUGGCUGGCCCUGUAAGAAGCUUGG